Molecule: ribosomal RNA, 207 nt
Filed under: uncultured bacterium
Lineage: Bacteria
Description: partial 16S ribosomal RNA
Rfam family: Bacterial small subunit ribosomal RNA
Source: RNAcentral
CGCGUAGGCGGUUGACCAAGUUGGGGGUGAAAGCCCGGGGCUUAACCUCGGAAUUGCCUCCAAAACUGGUCGGCUUGAGUGUGGAAGAGGGUUGUGGAAUUCCCAGUGUAGAGGUGAAAUUCGUAGAUAUUGGGAAGAGCACCAGUGGCGAAGGCGACAACCUGGUCCAUUACUGACGCUGAGGCGCGACAGCGUGGGGAGCAAACA